Molecule: ribosomal RNA, 890 nt
Filed under: Dicrocoelium dendriticum
Lineage: Eukaryota; Metazoa; Platyhelminthes; Trematoda; Plagiorchiida; Dicrocoeliidae
Description: partial large subunit ribosomal RNA
Rfam family: Eukaryotic large subunit ribosomal RNA
Source: RNAcentral
AGCGCUGCUCCACCCCAAGUCCAUCAAUGAGUACGGUAGUACAGACAUGGCCCAUGGAGGGUGAAAGGCCCGUUCGGGUGGAGAUUCGGCAGGCCAGUGCUUCUCUGGGUAGACCUUGGAGUCGGGUUGUUUGUGAAUGCAGCCCAAAGUGGGUGGUAAACUCCAUCCAAGGCUAAAUACAAGCACGAGUCCGAUAGCGAACAAGUACCGUGAGGGAAAGUUGAAAAGUACUUUGAAGAGAGAGUUAACAGUGCGUGAAACCGCUCAGAGGUAAGCAGGUGGAGUUGAACUGCAAGCUUUGAGAAUUCAGCUGGUGAGGUUGGUUUGGGCUUGGUCAAAUUGGUUGGGCCCCGAAGUACGUUAAACCACGUGUCCUUUCCCUUUGGGUUGGGAUGUGCGAUACACUUACCAAGUGUUGCACGCUUUGGGUGUUCAUCGAGCCUCCUUGUCAGUGCACUUUCUCAGAGUGGUCACCACGACCGACGCCGCUGUCAGGCUGUCAUAGUUAAACCGGUCUUGUAGUGUCCUUGUGGCAUUGCCUGGUCGGGAUGGCAGGUAGCUUGUUGGCUCGCUUCGGCUUGCUUUCGAGUGUAAUCAGCUGACUGUGACGGUUCUGUGCAGUGCGUCGGAGACGGCGGCCAGUGGUGUGUGCAUGCGUGCCCGAUUUGUUGGCGUACCCUGGUUUGGUUUCUGUGUUGCCUGUGAUAGCAGGCCUAGUUAUGGCUGGGGUUCGUUCGGCGAAUGGUUGCGUGUGUGGCACUUCCAAGGGCCAAUAGUCUGUGGUGUAGUGGUAGACUAUCCACCUGACCCGUCUUGAAACACGGACCAAGGAGAGUAACAUGUACGCGAGUCAUUGGGCGUAACGAAACCCACAGGCGCAGUGAAGUAAG